AGGACGAACGCUGGCGGCGUGCUUAACACAUGCAAGUCGAGCGGAAAGGCCCUUCGGGGUACUCGAGCGGCGAACGGGUGAGUAACACGUGGGUAACCUGCCCCGAUGAUUGGGACAACCCGAGGAAACUCGGGCUAAUACCAAAUGUGCUCCUGGCCGUGAUGGCCUUGAGGAAAGGAAGCUUCGGCCUCCGCAUCGGGAUGGGCCCGCGGCCCAUUAGCUAGUUGGUGGGGUAAAGGCCUACCAAGGCGACGACGGGUA
RNAcentral lists this ribosomal RNA (261 nucleotides) under uncultured bacterium. RNAcentral's name for it is "partial small subunit ribosomal RNA". It matches the Rfam family "Bacterial small subunit ribosomal RNA", at positions 26 to 285 of the family's 1533-position model. The record is from RNAcentral.